UGAAGCGACACCUCUGGUUUGGAUCUUGUCACAUUUCAGAAGCUAAGCAGAGUUAGGAAAGGUCAGUCCUUGGCUAGCAAACUUCCAGGGAAACCUCAGGCGCUGCAG
Molecule: ribosomal RNA, 108 nt
Filed under: Chrysemys picta bellii (western painted turtle)
Lineage: Eukaryota; Metazoa; Chordata; Testudines; Emydidae
Source: RNAcentral